AGGCGGACGUGCUAACCAGUGUAUGUGUCACGGAUCGGAGUGUGGAAAUGGAGCAGGGCGACCAAGUGCAGCUUGGACCAGGGUUUAUUGCAGGAACUCAAAAGACAGACUCGGCAAACUAACAUAACUUACUGGCAAAAUCAAUAACAG
Molecule: long non-coding RNA, 150 nt
Organism: Syngnathus acus (greater pipefish)
Lineage: Eukaryota; Metazoa; Chordata; Actinopteri; Syngnathiformes; Syngnathidae
Exons: 3
Source: RefSeq, a predicted model, not a curated record